This 687-nucleotide ribosomal RNA is filed under the name Microsporidium sp. MIC1. Its description in RNAcentral is "bacterial SSU rRNA". The stretch from base 1 to 477 matches the Rfam family "Microsporidia small subunit ribosomal RNA", at positions 844 to 1311 of the family's 1311-position model. Lineage: Eukaryota; Fungi; Microsporidia. The record is from RNAcentral.
ACCAGGGUAUGUAACGUUGAGUGAAGGGUAUGGAUGUGAUCUGUAUUCUGAUAGCGUUACGCGUGGUGCAUGGCCGUUCUUAACACGUGGGGUGACUUGUCUGGUUAAAUCCGAUAACGCGUGAGACCCUGGAAAUUGACGAUACUUGACAAGAGUAGGGAAGCUCGGGUCGAUAACAGGUCUGUGAUGCCCGUAGUUAUUCUGGGCGCCACGCGCAUUACAGUGGGAGAGGAUACGUGAAACGGAACUCUCUUGCGGUUGGGAUUGACGUUUGUAAAUACGUCAUGAACGCGGAAUUCCUAGUAAUUUGUUGUCAUUAACGACAGAUGAAUGAGUCCCUGUUCUUUGUACACACCGCCCGUCGUUAUCUAAGAUGAAUGUGCGGAUGAAGUUGGUUAGGCCAAAAGAAUCCGUGCGAUUAGAUUGGAUACAAGUCGUAACAAGGUUGCGGUAGGAGAACCUGCCGCAGGAUCAAUAAAAAGAUCAUUGGGUUUUUAUAAUGUGGGUAACACAUUGCGUUCGAAGGAUCGAUUGGUUUUGGUGACGAUGACGAUUGUUGCUGUAUGCGAUAAUGAGUGACAACAGCCUUGUUUAACUCGUUAUCUAAUUAUAGAUGCCAUCUAUGAUUACCCCUUGGACUUAAGCAUAUCAUUAAAGGGGAGGAAAAGGAAACAACUGUGAUUUCGA